Molecule: ribosomal RNA, 520 nt
Filed under: uncultured Glomus
Lineage: Eukaryota; Fungi; Glomeromycota; Glomeromycetes; Glomerales; Glomeraceae
Description: SSU rRNA
Rfam family: Eukaryotic small subunit ribosomal RNA
Source: RNAcentral
CGCAGCCGCGGUAAUUCCAGCUCCAAUAGCGUAUAUUAAAGUUGUUGCAGUUAAAAAGCUCGUAGUUGAAUUUCGGGGUUAGUAGGUUGGUCGUGCCAAUGGUAUGCACUGGCCUCACUGAUUCCUCCUUCUUGAUGAACCUUAAUGCCAUUAAUUUGGUGUUUUGGGGAAUCUGGACUGUUACUUUGAAAAAAUUAGAGUGUUUAAAGCAAGCUAACGCUUGAAUACAUUAGCAUGGAAUAAUGAAAUAGGACGUUCGGUCUUAUUUUGUUGGUUUCUAAGAUUGACGUAAUGAUUAAUAGGGAUAGUUGGGGGCAUUAGUAUUCAAUUGUCAGAGGUGAAAUUCUUGGAUUUAUUGAAGACUAACUACUGCGAAAGCAUUUGCCAAGGAUGUUUUCAUUAAUCAAGAACGAAAGUUAGGGGAUCGAAGACGAUCAGAUACCGUCGUAGUCUUAACCAUAAACUAUGCCGACUAGGGAUCGGGAUGAUGUUAAUUUUUUAAUGUACUCAUUCGGCGCCU